AACUUUUAGCAACGGAUCUCUUGGCUCUCGCAUCGAUGAAGAACGCAGCGAAAUGCGAUAAAUAAUGUGAAUUGCAGAAUUCAGUGAAUCAUCGAAUCUUUGAACGCACCUUGCACCCUUUGGCAUUCCGAAGGGUAUGCUCGUUUGAGUGUCAUUGUACUCUCACACUCCCGAUGCUUUUGGAUUGGGAGUGGUGGACUUGGGUGUUGCUGCUUUACUGUGGCUCACCUCAAAUGGAGUAGUGCAACUCUUGGUUGGACAUAGUACGGCGUGAUAAGUGUCUUCGCCGGCGCCUCAUUAGAGGGUGGCCGAUCGGGAGCUCUGUGCUUCAAACCGUCUUCGGACAACAUCUGACAACUUGACCUCAAAUCGAGUAGGACUACCCGCUGAACUUAAGCAUAUCAAUAAGCGGAGGCU
This 417-nucleotide unclassified non-coding RNA is filed under the name uncultured Sebacina. Its description in RNAcentral is "sequence contains ITS2". The stretch from base 1 to 154 matches the Rfam family "5.8S ribosomal RNA". The record is from RNAcentral. Lineage: Eukaryota; Fungi; Basidiomycota; Agaricomycetes; Sebacinales; Sebacinaceae.